ACUCCUACGGGAGGCAGCAGUGGGGAAUUUUGGACAAUGGGGGCAACCCUGAUCCAGCAAUGCCGCGUGAGUGAAGAAGGCCCUCGGGUUGUAAAGCUCUUUUGUCAGGGAAGAAACGGUGGUUCCUAAUACGGGCUGCUAAUGACGGUACCUGAAGAAUAAGCACCGGCUAACUACGUGCCAGCAGCCGCGGUAAUACGUAGGGUGCAAGCGUUAAUCGGAAUUACUGGGCGUAAAGCGUGCGCAGGCGGUUAUAUAAGACAGAGGUGAAAUCCCCGGGCUCAACCUGGGAACUGCCUUUGUGACUGUAUGGCUAGAGUGUGUCAGAGGGGGGUAGAAUUCCACGUGUAGCAGUGAAAUGCGUAGAUAUGUGGAGGAAUACCGAUGGCGAAGGCAGCCCCCUGGGAUAACACUGACGCUCAUGCACGAAAGCGUGGGGAGCAAACAGGAUUAGAUACCCUGGUAGUCCACGCCCUAAACGAUGUCUACUAGUUGUCGGGACUUAAUUGUCUUGGUAACGCAGCUAACGCGUGAAGUAGACCGCCUGGGGAGUACGGUUCGCAAGAUUAUAACUCAAAGGAAUUGACGGGGACCCGCACAAGC
RNAcentral lists this ribosomal RNA (603 nucleotides) under uncultured organism. RNAcentral describes it as "bacterial SSU rRNA". It matches the Rfam family "Bacterial small subunit ribosomal RNA", at positions 335 to 930 of the family's 1533-position model. The record is from RNAcentral.